RNAcentral lists this ribosomal RNA (497 nucleotides) under uncultured bacterium. Its description in RNAcentral is "partial 16S ribosomal RNA". It matches the Rfam family "Bacterial small subunit ribosomal RNA", at positions 28 to 507 of the family's 1533-position model. The record is from RNAcentral.
GACGAACGCUGGCGGCGUGCCUAAUACAUGCAAGUAGAACGCUGAAGAGAGGAGCUUACUCUUCUUGGAUGAGUUGCGAACGGGUGAGUAACGCGUAGGUAACCUGCCUUGUAGCGGGGGAUAACUAUUGGAAACGAUAGCUAAUACCGCAUAACAAUGGAUGACACAUGUCAUUUAUUUGAAAGGGGCAAUUGCUCCACUACAAGAUGGACCUGCGUUGUAUUAGCUAGUAGGUGAGGUAAUGGCUCACCUAGGCGACGAUACAUAGCCGACCUGAGAGGGUGAUCGGCCACACUGGGACUGAGACACGGCCCAGACUCCUACGGGAGGCAGCAGUAGGGAAUCUUCGGCAAUGGGGGCAACCCUGACCGAGCAACGCCGCGUGAGUGAAGAAGGUUUUCGGAUCGUAAAGCUCUGUUGUAAGUCAAGAACGGGUGUGAGAGUGGAAAGUUCACACUGUGACGGUAGCUUACCAGAAAGGGACGACUAACUACGUG